GAUGAACGCUGGCGGCGUGCCUAAUACAUGCAAGUCGAGCGAACGGACGAGGAGCUUGCUCCUCUGACGUUAGCGGCGGACGGGUGAGUAACACGUGGAUAACCUACCUAUAAGACUGGGAUAACUUCGGGAAACCGGAGCUAAUACCGGAUAAUAUUUUGAACCGCAUGGUUCAAUAGUGAAAGACGGUUUUGCUGUCACUUAUAGAUGGAUCCGCGCCGCAUUAGCUAGUUGGUAGGGUAACGGCUUACCAAGGCGACGAUGCGUAGCCGACCUGAGAGGGUGAUCGGCCACACUGGAACUGAGACACGGUCCAGACUCCUACGGGAGGCAGCAGUAGGGAAUCUUCCGCAAUGGGCGAAAGCCUGACGGAGCAACGCCGCGUGAGUGAUGAAGGUCUUCGGAUCGUAAAACUCUGUUAUUAGGGAAGAACAAAUGUGUAAGUAACUAUGCACGUCUUGACGGUACCUAAUCAGAAAGCCACGGCUAACUACGUG
This 497-nucleotide ribosomal RNA is filed under the name uncultured bacterium. RNAcentral's name for it is "partial 16S ribosomal RNA". It matches the Rfam family "Bacterial small subunit ribosomal RNA", at positions 28 to 507 of the family's 1533-position model. The record is from RNAcentral.